ACUAUAUUUAGACACAGUCUCGCGCAAUUUAUUUGUUACGCGCAGUAGAAAAUGUUCUACAGAUAUUCUGCUUGUGCGCGAGACUAUUAAAAACAUGGCGGACGUAGUAAUGAUUUUCUAAAAAGUGGUGAUAAAAAACUUCAAAAUAUUUCUUCUACACUUUUAGGUUUCUUGACAUUCCUGACGAGGAGCCACAACUGGUGAUAUUCAGCUCAACCGAGACAUCUCCGACUCCGAGAGUAAUACCUUCUUUCCCAUUGCAUGAUGUGGAUCCUAAAACAUAUGAAUUGUGUGUUGAAGAUAGUACAUUGUAUAUCAUAAGUGCUCUUUGUAGCUAUAGAUAUGAUGCUUGUUUUGAUAAGAGGACAUCUAUUCAGCCAUUGCCAGGCCCCAUGAGUGACACGCUCUUAUUUUUCAGUUGUGGUCUUAAAUGGAAAAGUAAUGGCUCUUGGCGGGUUGGAAGGACGUACCUUAUUGGAUACUGUUAGUUGCAGCAUGUUAUGAUAUAAUGAGUUUCAAUAAAAUAUUGUAAGGCUUAA
Molecule: long non-coding RNA, 539 nt
Organism: Lineus longissimus
Lineage: Eukaryota; Metazoa; Nemertea; Pilidiophora; Heteronemertea; Lineidae
Exons: 2
Source: RefSeq, a predicted model, not a curated record